AUGGCUUCUCGGGCACCCAUUGUAUUUAGUGGAGAAAUCAUGCCGGGAAGGUUGGAGCUGCUUGUUGCGCUUUGGAAAGCAUGGGGGAUCCAAGGGGUGGUGCUGCUGAGCUUCACAUUGCAAGUCAUGCUCCUUGUAAUGGCUGAUAUCCGUCGGCGCAACGGGUCUUUCAUGUUGAAGGCCAUCAUUUGGUCAGCAUAUGUUACGGCCGACCCAACGGCGAUGUAUACCCUUGGCCACAUGUCCGUGAUGGUCACAUCGCCUGAGCACAACCUUAUGGCACUCUGGGCACCACUGUUGCUUGUGCACCUUGGUGGACAAGACAACAUCACGGCCUACGUCAUCGAAGACAACCGGCUCUGGAUGCGCCACCUGCAAUAUUUUCUUUCACAGGUCGUGGCAGCUACAUAUGUUAUGUACGAGUCUUCCAUACUUGGCCGUAACACCUUGCUCCGGCCAGCCACAAUCCUCUUGUUUGUGGUUGGUAUCCUCAAGUAUGGAGAAAGAAUAUGGGCACUGAUGUGCGCCAACAACUGCGCCAGUAGUAGCCUAUCCGCCACAAACUACAAAGAUUUUCGCCAGGUGUCUGAGGAGCAGCCUGGCACUUUGUCCAAAGAAGCUACAAGCCCAAGAGAUGAGGAAGACCUAGCAAGGGAACCGGGGCGUGGCCCUAUUCGUCUAAAAGACGAGGAAGACCUACAGUUCCAAGCAUACAUGAUGUUGGACGUCCCCAAACAAAUGUUCGAGGGGCCGACACGGUAUGUGAAAAUGAACAAUGCCUUCCAUUGUGAAGGAGAGGAUAUAUCCAAGAUGGUCGGAAUGCAGCUCUCCAUGAUGUACGAAAUUCUAUACAGCAAGGCUGCUGUAGUGCACACUUGGUACGGCCGGUGCAUCCGUGUCAUCUCGCUUCUGGCCACCAUUGCCGCAUUCCUGUUGUUCCAUGCAUCAAGUGACAAAUUGCAUGGUGGUUACAGCAGAGUAGAUGUUAUUGUCACCUAUGUCCUUCUAGCUGGUGCUGUUGUCCUGGAGAUCACGUCCAUGCUCAGGACCAUUUUCUCCACUUGGACAUGUGUGCUUCUCCAACAACUGGGGUGGCGUCGGCUUUCCGGUGUGCUCCAAUUUCUUGCCCGGCCCAUCAGAUUGGUGGUCCAUACAAGGUUCUGGUCGGGAUCCAUGAGGCAGAACAGCUUGUUUAGGACCUGCUAUCGGGCUAGGAACAAUCCAAUGAGCAAAAUCGCCAGAUGCAUGGGAAGGGGGGACUGGUGGGACUCCAUAGUCAACUCCUCGUCCACCUAUGUCCCGAGAAUAAUCAUUGAGUUAGUGGUGGAAGUAGUGUCUGCAAGUGAGGGCAUCCCUGAAGAGAGCCCAUAUCACAUCAGAAACUCAAGGGGUCGGCAGACGUUACAGAGAUGUGGCAUGCAUGAGGACCUGGAAUGGACAUGGACAGUUGAGUUGGAGCUGGAUGAGAGCAUCAUCGUAUGGAACAUCGCCACUGAAUUAUACACAUUUUGGUGGCGUAAGAAUAGGUAUUCAGAUACUUUUGAUGAGUCAAGAGAAAGACCCGACAUACUCUCCCGUUACAUGUUUUACCUGCUUGCCACACGCCCCUACAUGCUCCCUUACCCUGUUAGCCGCCAGAAGUAUGUCCAGUUGUGCUAUGAUUUGAUCACCGCGCACAAGGACGUACUUUCUGCACUUCGUAAGGAAGUAUGCGACACCGGAUUUGAUCCAGCCAACUCAUUUCCGGCUGAAGCUGAAGUAAUUGAAAUCGACAAUAAAAUGCUAAGCAGUGGAUGGCGGCUAGCCCUAAAGCUGAUCAGCACCGACAUGGGGUCAGAGGAUUGUCAUGGCACCUUCAAGAUGAUCUCUAAAGUUUGGGCGGAGAUGCUAUGUUACACAGCCUAUCGGUGCAACGAGAACUAUCAUGCCAAACACCUGAGCAACGGUGGUGAGAUCCUGACCUCCAUUGCCCUUUUAAUGUUGUACAUGUCAAGGAAAAGGUCGCCGCUACCAUAG
This 2016-nucleotide ribosomal RNA is filed under the name Triticum aestivum (bread wheat). RNAcentral's name for it is "partial small subunit ribosomal RNA". The record is from RNAcentral. Lineage: Eukaryota; Viridiplantae; Streptophyta; Magnoliopsida; Poales; Poaceae.